Molecule: long non-coding RNA, 3677 nt
Filed under: Mus musculus (house mouse)
Lineage: Eukaryota; Metazoa; Chordata; Mammalia; Rodentia; Muridae
Description: long non-coding RNA chr13:55267511-55271188
Source: RNAcentral
GAACUUGCACCCAGGGCUUCAUACAUUCUAGGCAAAUUCUCUUGCCACUCAGCUACAACUGCUGUGUGAGACUAACCACCACGCCAUGCUCAGAAGGCAGCACCUUUGUGAGUGUUUAUUUUUACAAUAAUAGAAUAUCUGUUUGAGGACUAUAGCCAGGCAUACUGUUCUUCCUUUCUCUAAAUUUUUUAUGCUCAGUGUACAAAGCAAUGGAUUUUUGUACAAGUAUGGCAAUUUUUGUACCUGUGUUCCACUGCUCGUUGUUUCUUCCCCCUUCCACUUUUCCUUUCAGUGCCCCUCACCCCCUUGACUGCCUGAUUUCUCCUUACACGUAGAGCCCCCAACUCCAUUUUUGGGGUUUAAUAGUAACUUUGAUUUGUAGUGGUAAGUUGUCAUGUGGGUAGGUGAUUUAGAGUUGUUUACUGUUCAAUGCUCAUUGUUGAUUAAUUCCGUCAUUUCUAUUUGGUGUAGUAUUUAUUUAAACAGUACAUAUAGUAAAACUAGAACCUACAGGGAGGACUGGAGCCCUGUGUAAUGACGAAGUGGAUAUUGAUCUCUCACUUGUUUUUUCAUUUGUAUCCAAGUGUAUCUAUGUAUAUUACAUGAAAACAGAAUUGAGACAGGCUCUCUUGUAGGAAGGGUGAUUUCAAAUUCCUAUGCAGCUGAGGAUGACCUUGAACUCCUGAUGCAUCAGCCCAGUCAGUGUAGUCCUUGGUUUUUGUUUAUUUGGUUCUUGUGUUUUAAGGCAAGGUCUUGUUAUCCAGUCUCCAACAGUGGUCUUCCUGCUUCAGCGUCCUGAGUCUGUAAAUUGUACUGAUAUGCCAAGAUAACCUAGGAGUUGUUGCUGUGGCGGUAGCUAUUACCAAUUUGGGCACAAAAGGUGUUAAAGAACUGGUUUCAAGUACCUUAGUAAUUCCUGUUGCUUUUCACUUACAGUGCUUUGAAGCCAGUCGCUCGGGAAAUGGUAUUGUUGAAUCACGGGCUACAUCUCAUUUGAAAGAGUUCAGUGGAGGUGAGUAUUGAUGCUAAGAAAAUGAAAUUAAUUUCAUGUAUAAAGUUAUGUACCAGUACAAUUAUACUUUGAGAUUCUGAACACAAUAUCUAAAACCCAUAGGAAUCUAUAGCUAUUUUUAAGUCUUAUGAUGUUAUUAGUUAAAUAGAGUAAAAUUAUAUUUUUAGUAAAGAACUAUUUGGGCCAGUUGUAAAAUCAGUUCCUCUUUAAUUUUUUUUAAGUAUUCUGUCUUCAGAUUCUACCAUUAAUUUCAUACCAUUGAUCCCAUUUUGAUUUCUUUAUUAGAAAGUGUGCAGUGUAGUUUGAGAGGGAAAUCCCAAACUGUCUGACUUUUUCUUCACAAUUUGUUUUGAGUUUUUUUUUUAUCAUAUCUAAAUUAUCCUUAGUUUCUUUAGGUACAUCUGUGACCAUCAGCCAGCUACCAUAUGCUUGAAUAAGAGAGCAUAUUGAUCCUGUUCCAUUUAUUAUAGUUUUCUCUCUUUAAGAAAAAUUAUUUCCCUCUUUCAUUCUUUUUCUGUUCCCAUCUUAAUACUUCUUAAAAUCCCCAACAACAUUCAUAUUUUUUGUGAGUUUUUAUAUUUUUAUAUUUCCAUGAUAUACUAAUUUUAAUUUCUUUCAUGAGCAUAGGUGGGAUAUUAAUGACUGGAACAUGGACGAGUUACUAUUAUCUAUACCACUGAAGAAACUAUUCUUCGUUUCCCUGUGGCUGUACUCAGCUCUCAUGAUUUCCUCAGGGAACUCUGAGGGUCUCACAGGUCCCUCCCCAGCCCUAAUGGAUUGUUGACAGGCUUAGCCUUGUAUCAUCACAGCUACUAUUGAGUUGAUGAGUAUACCGGCCAUGUCACAUCUGAAGACAGAGUUUAACGGCAUUCCUCCUGUCCUUGAUUGAUAGAUUUCAUUCUGUCCCCCUUCCCCCAGUGUUCCCCAGUCUUUGUUGGGGUUGAAGUAGAUGUCCUAUUUAGGGCAGAGUACUCAACAGCACUUACUCUCCACACUUUGACCUGUCCUGAGUGUCUACUUUACCUACUACCAACUGCAAGGGAAAGCUCUGCUCCGGGCUGAAAGCAGCAUUGUUCGCUGCCUAUAAACAUACACAUUAGAGAGUAGUGUGGUACUGAGUCACCAGCACAGAACAACAAUCCAGAUGUUCUCCUCUCCUGUCCUUGGCCUAUGACUUUCCUACCUAGCCCAGGGCAUUUGAUUAGCUUUUUAGUACCAAUUUUGCUUUCCCUUCAGUGGAGCAGGCCUCAGAUCACUCAAAAAGUGGUUGGCCACUGUACUGCUGUUAGUCAUGCCACUGGUACACCAGCGGGCACAUCUUGCUUAGCAGGUUUUGUAGCUUCCCUAGCACUUUACUGGGACCUUCUAGCACCAUGAAAGCUGGCUGGCAUGGAGUAAGCUUCCCCAUUCUGUGCCAGCUUGAACUCUCCAGUUCUUAACCCUAUGACUUGUGUUGCUUUUCAAAAGCAAAGUCUCACAUUAGCAGCCCUGACUAGCUUUGAACUUACUUUGUAGACAAGAGUGAGCACAUAUAGUACUUUCUUUUGUUUUCUAGAUAUAGCUGCUCCCAUCUUUUUUUUUUUUUCCCCAGACAUGGUCUCUUUGUAGUUCUCACUGUCCUGAGUCUUACUGUAGACUAGCUGACUUCUACCUUCACAGAGACCUGCCUGCCUGACUCCAAAUACUGGAAUUAAAGGCAUAUACCACUUAGCCAGCCUCUGUAGUGACUCUUAAGGACUUAUUCUUUGAUUUGAAAUUUCACAAAGUAUGUCGUGACUUUAAAGUCAUUGUUGAACCAUCACAUGAAUUUGAGCAUAUGGCAUCCUGUGUGAUCAGCUGACUAACUCUUAGCCACUCUGGUACCAUGAUUAUCUGAUUGUUAUGCAUGUUAGCAAAUAUUUUGGUUGAUUUUAGUCAUGGGCAAUUAGAAUUACCAGUCCAUCAAUUUGCUUGUCUUUAAAGGAAAUGGCUUGGAGAUAAUGUCAGCUCUUUUCUAUCCUUUUAUGUAUUUUGUAAAUUUUGUCUAUAUGGUUCAGCUCAUAAGAAUUUUGUAUCUACAGCUAGGCAGGUGGUACACUAUAGUCCCAGUGCUUGGUAAGCUGAAGCAGGCAGAUCUCUGUGAAUGAAAGGCCAGCCUGGUUUAUACAGUACAUUCCUGGCCAGCCAGAGCUGUACGACAAGACCCUCUAUAACAAAUCAACACAAACUAAAUGCUUUUUCUUCAAUACAGGUUCUAGGAUCUAAGUCAUAAGUAGAAGACUUGCCCAGCAUGCAUGAGACAUGGGCUUCCUCCUUAGCAACUGACAUUAUGUUAAUUCUUCUCUUAGUCUUGGACUGUUACCUACCCUAAUAGUUUCUCAUCUCCAUAAAGCACUCAGAAACAGUGGCAUUGAUAAUAGUCUCAUUAGUUAACUCACGUAUUUGUCUUGGAACUUUCUAUCCUUUGAAAGAUUCAUCCUCGAAAACUGUUUUUAGUACUUUAGAUACAGAUUUGCUUAUAAUUAAGAGCAUAUGGAGAUUAAGCAUAAAGACCUAUUAUGGUAGCACAUGUAUUUAAUUCCAGCACUUGGGAGACAGAGACAGAGAGUUUGAGACUAGCCGGGUUUACAUGGUGAGUUCCAGGACAGUCAGGGCUGUAUAAUGAGACUCUAACAAAUAAGAAAAC